GCUGGCGGCAGGCCUAACACAUGCAAGUCGAGCGAGAACGCACCUUCGGGUGUUAUUAGAGCGGCGCACGGGUGAGUAACGCGUGGGAACAUACCCUGUAGUAUGGAAUAGCCUCGGGAAACUGGGAUUAAUACCAUAUACGCCCUUAGGGGGAAAGAUUUAUCGCUAUAGGAUUGGCCCGCGUGACAUUAGCUUGUUGGUGAGGCAAUGGCUCACCAAGGCUACGAUGUCUAGCUGGUCUGAGAGGAUGAUCAGCCACACUGGAACUGAGACACGGUCCAGACUCCUACGGGAGGCAGCAGUGAGGAAUAUUGGACAAUGGGGGAAACCCUGAUCCAGCCAUGCCGCGUGUGUGAUGAAGGCCUUAGGGUUGUAAAGCACUUUCAUUGGUGAAGAUAAUGACGGUAACCAAAGAAGAAGCCCCGGCUAACUUCGUGCCAGCAGCCGCGGUAAUACGAAGGGGGCUAGCGUUGUUCGGAAUCACUGGGCGUAAAGCGCGCGUAGGCGGAUUUGUAAGUCAGAGGUGAAAUCCCGGGGCCCAACCCCGGAACUGCCUUUGAAACUACAAGUCUAGAAUCUUGGAGGGGGUAGUGGAAUUCCUAAUGUAGGGGUGAAAUCCGUAGAUAUUAGGAGGAACACCGGUGGCGAAGGCGGCUACCUGGACAAGUAUUGACGGUGAGGUGCGAAAGCGUGGGGAGCAAACAGGAUUAUACCCUGGUAGUCCACGCCGUAAACGAUGAGUGCUAGCUGUUGGUCUUUCGGGAUCAGUGGCGCAGCUAACGCAUUAAGCACUCCGCCUGGGGAGUACGGUCGCAAGAUUAAAACUCAAAGGAAUUGACGGGGACCCGCACAAGCGGUGGAGCAUGUGGUUUAAUUCGAGGCAACGCGAAGAACCUUACCAGCUCUUGUAUCCCGAUCGCGAUUAGAGGAGACUCUUUUCUUCAGCUUGGCUGGAUCGGUGACAGGUGGUACACGGCUGUCGUCAGCUCGUGUCGUGAGAUGUUGGGUUAAGUCCCGCAACGAGCGCAACCCUCAUCCUUAGUUGCUAACAUUUAGUUGAGAACUCUAAGGAAACCGCCGGUGUUAAACCGGAGGAAGGUGAGGACGACGUCAAGUCAUCAUGCCCCUUACGGGCUGGGCUACACACGUGCUACAAUGGCAGUGACAAUGGGUUAAUCCAUAAAAACUGUCUCAGUUCGGAUUGUCGGCUGCAACUCGCCGGCAUGAAGUUGGAAUCGCUAGUAAUCAUAGGUCAGCAUACUACGGUGAAUACGUUCCCGGGUCUUGUACACACCGCCCGUCACACCAUGGGAGUUGUUUCUACCCUAAGCCGGUGAGCCAAUCAGGCAGCCGUCCACGGUAGGGGCAGCGACUGGGGUGAAGUCGUAACAAGGUA
This 1396-nucleotide ribosomal RNA is filed under the name metagenome. RNAcentral describes it as "bacterial SSU rRNA". It matches the Rfam family "Bacterial small subunit ribosomal RNA". The record is from RNAcentral.